Long non-coding RNA from Cucurbita moschata (crookneck pumpkin), 4841 nucleotides. RefSeq lists it as uncharacterized. Lineage: Eukaryota; Viridiplantae; Streptophyta; Magnoliopsida; Cucurbitales; Cucurbitaceae. The transcript is spliced from 8 exons. The record is from RefSeq and is a predicted model, not a curated record.
AGAGGGUAGAAUGGUCAUCUUGUUAAAUAUUGCGCGCGAGCGGAAGCACGUACUUCCGAGUUUGAGCCCUGUUUCGCUACCUGUACUAUGGUUUAGUUUUCAUUCAGCUCCUCGCAUUUUGCGUAUGAUCGCAUCGCACUGAGGUGAGGACAUAUUGUUCAAGAACUUCCAUGAAUUAUUAGCAGAAGAGUGGGUUAGAGGGGGCUCGGACAGUGGUCAGAAUGGACGGUGGAAAAUUGCAUUGACAAAGUCUUCUGAGAGGGUUGAUGACGCUUUCAAGGACAAGACUCUAGCACCCUACUCGGUUGGAUCUACAGCUUUGAUUCUUCUUCUGUCAGUUUGCCAGAUUAUUGUUGCCAACUGUGGCGACUCAAUGCUCUGUCGUCAGAGUCAAGCCAUCCCCUUGACGGUUGACCAAAAGAUUAGUAGGCCAGAAGAAUAUGAUAGACUGGUUAAGGGAGGAGUGAGGAUUCUGUUUGUGGGCUUCCCUAGGGUCGUAGGAGUAUUGACUAUGACCAGGGCAAUAGGACUGAAGAAGACGAGUGUUUGAUUCUGGCUAGUGAUGGAGUAUGGGUUAUCUUGUCUAAUGAUGAUGUGAUGAAGAGGCUUGCAGCAUACUGAGGAGGCAACGCAGAAAGUUGGCGUUUGGUGGAGCUCAUGAUGCAAUUUAUCCAGCACAAUAUGCUGCAAAUCAAAUCCGCAAGGUGUUCAGUCAUUUGAGUGGUGACAACAUCUCAGUUUCUGUAAUUGACCUAAAGCACCAAAUCAAGGAGCGCCAACCUGAAUGGUAAACGUAGUAUCGACAUACAGGUUGGCUGGGCAGAAGUAUGUGAUCUUUUCUAUAAACUGGACAUACACUUGAGCUGUAGUUAAAUAAUUAUACAAACUCUGCAGCUCCUUUACCUUAUCUAUUCUAGUUUGUUAGAGAGGCUUGCCGUGUAUUUUUCUAUAUACCUAGUUUCAACCCUGUAUACUAUAUUUGCAUGCAAUUAUGCAUCUACCUUAACCAAGUUCUCUUCACCUUAGAAACCCCACUAACUACAAUGAAUUUGCCGAUUUCAUGAAACAAUUAGCAAACUUCUUACAUGGAACGUGUGUAAUCAAUAUAUGUAUAUAAGUGACGCCAUACAUAGUUUCAAGUCAUUGGGUGUUAAAUUUUUUGUCUAACUUUGGCUCUACUCAGAUGAAUGGGUAGUACUGGGAUUCUUUCUGUUUUAGGUUACUACGAGGACUUGGAUGGGCUUAUUUGGAUAACACUUUGGCGAAUGGAGAUAAAGCUACCCAUAGUGGAGAAUGCUGCUUUCAAUAAUUUCGUAUUUCCAAGGAACGGAUUCUUAUGAGGAUGAACAGAAUUGAUGCUGCAAAGGAGGAAUAUCUGUGUAAAGCUCACUGAGAAAGCAACCUUAAAGGGGUCUUAGCAGUGCAACAUUUGUAAUACGCCUCAGAGAAUCUAGAGGGCAUGUCCUGUAGGAGUGUUUGCAAGUUCGAUUUGAGACAGUAUUUUGUAGGCUUUCGGAGUGCAUAUGAUAAGAGGUCUUGUUUGGAGGGAGGUGGUGUUCUUUCAUCCUCCCUCAUAAGCUAGGGGUAGAUCUCUAGUGUGUGCCUUAUUUUUUUUGUCGAAUGGAGGGUUUUGGGCAUUUGUGAUUGUAACUAAUUCUUUUGUUCUUAUUCAUUGGACUGAUUACUCUUUUUCUCUCUGGAGUCUUUUAUGUAAUUUUUGUAGGUAGUUAGCUUUGUAUUAUGACUCUUUUACUUUUGUUAUUAUAUAAUUAUUAUUUUCCUCUUAUGUUGUGUCUUUUAUCAGGAGUAUUUUUACGAUUUCUCCUUAUUCCUUUACACAAGAAUGACAUAAAUCUUUUAGUCGUUACAGAUUUAUGUGGUACUCUAAUGAACAACCGGAAAGAUUGAUAAUACAAGUAAGAGAUUGAUUACUGUCCAGGGUGGGAUUCUUAUCGACAUAGGAGGGACAGUGAUGGAAAAAGAGAAUCACAAUCUAUGCCACGAAAAAAAGGAAAAACAAAAAAUAUGAGUAUAUAUAUGUAAACACAUAGCCUUAUUCUGAUCCCACUUCACCCACCACACCCACACAUAUCGCUAGCUUUUUCCUGUUAACUCUUUUAACAAAGCAUUUGAUGUGACCAAGCAUUUGAGAAUGAGAAAGAGAGAGAGAGAGAGGGGUUGUGUGUGUAGCUCAGCUUCGAGAGAGAGCACUGCACAAACAUCUUUCUGCUGUACAUGCACUUCUUAUCUCACUUGGUAUAUUUGUGGCAGAGGAAUGUAAAGGUGGAAUCUCUUCCCCUGAACACUUGACAUUUCCCACUUUUUAACAUUACAUCUGUCUAAAAUUACAGGUGAGAUAUGGAAGAGUAAAAGACGUGACAAGGACCAUUGCCUGCAAACGUACUGAGCUUCUCAUGUCAAUCAUUGGUCUAUUUUUUAGGAGUCCCGAAUUUUGUACCCGCAGUUCCUGCAUGGUUUUAAACAGGGAUUUAUAACUUUCAAUUAAAAUGUGACCAAGUUGAUCCAAUUGUCAUCAAGUGUCUAGAGUUUCAGUGAAUUCUUUCUUCUAGUGACGUACUUCAUCUUCAAGAGAUUCUCCCAUUAACUGUAUCUAAAUCCAUGACAAAAACAGCGUGGUAAAACUUAGAUCAAAUUAUAAUUUCAAUGUGAUUUUUGAAUGUUUAAUAGUCCUAUAUUUUGAAAUUUUUAAAAAGUGUCUUCGUUCUUAAAUUUUUUAUUUUGUGUCUAAUAAAUCCAUGACAAAAACAGGUUAGGUAUAUAAAUUUAGUUUUAUAUGUUAUAUAUCAAUUUCUAAAUAUGUUGUAUAUGUUAAUGACUGAGUUGACACUAACUUUGUUUUACCUGGUAUGAAGAUUAGAAAUUUCUAUUUUAAAGAAGUAUUGGAUGUCAAUCACCAAUAAACUAGGUUAGAGUUUAAACUAUAUAUUAAUACGACAAGUGUGGGUUCAGGAUUUAAAUUUUUAAUUUCAAACGAAUUUUAGAUGUCUUUUAGCUAUUAAGUUAGCCUCGUAUUUGAUAUAAAGUGCGAUUAUAUGAAUGGAGAUUUUAAUUUCUAAGGCUGUGAACGAGUAGAUACCCUACCUCAACCCUUCUGCCCUACAACUAUGUUAGGUGUAACAUAUUCUUUGAUUUGAUAUUUCUCUCCACCACAGAAUAUCAUUUUCAUUUCCUUGGGUGGAUAGGUUCAUUUUGGAACGAUGACAGAAGGAGAGAAAUGAUUGGCCAAAUAGAGUAAACAAAAGUGAAGUGAUUCAUGUUCUUUUAUUACCUUAGGUAGAAAUUUCUUAGGAAAAAUCGAAUUUUAGAUUGGAAUAGUAAGAGUGAUAUGAUUGUUUCUUUUUUAAUUUAUGAAAAUGGUGGUGCACAUAUGGCAUGGACACUUGGGGUGGGAUAAAUUCUUUGUCUAGUACGAAUGCGAAAAACUUUAUAUUAUUAUUAUUAUUUAGGUGCUUUAGAACAGGACAGAUUUUGUCUUAAGCAUAAAAUGUGUUGGGCAACAUUUUCUUUUUUCUGGGGCGGGUGGGCCACGUGGUCGUCUUCAUCGAGUUGGAUUUUUUUGUAUUCUCUAUUACUGUACAUACUUAGUGUCAUCAAUAUAAACCCUUAGUCAAUAUUCUUUUUUGCAUUUUAUUUCUCAUGUCUUUUGAGUUCAUCUAAAUCAAGUGUGUGAAUUGUUGUGCGAUUCUAACAACUAGUAUAGAGUUGGAAGAUACUCACCAAGAUCUUUUAAAAUGAAAAACUCAAAUAUUAGAAUUGAGAAGUUUGAGAUUCGAUUUCGAUUUUUUUUUUAAGAUUAUCUGUACUAGAAAUAUCUUUACGAACUCCUGUCUGAGGUGAAUCUGUAUAUCAUGACCAUAGAACCGUGGAAGUAUAAUGAUAGACUCUAGGGUUGGUCUGGUUGACGCUGUCUAAAAGCGUAGCGUUCAACAUCAUCAAAGAGAAUACAACGUCGGAUAUAUUGACAACGUUGUCGAAUAUAUACAGAAAAAUCAUCGAUUAUAAACAAGAUGUACUCGAUAAAUCUACAAAUGUAUGAAGAUGGGACUACAUCCACAAACGUUUUAGAAAGUUCCUUUUGAACAGUAUUUUGUGAAAAAGGACAGAAAAGUUAGUUUAUAGGAAAAAAAAAAAAACAUCCAAGUACCAAUUUAAUAAUUCUGUAUUUGCCGCCAAAUUACUCUGGUAGUAAUUUCUAUAAUUAGUAAUAAUUCCAGACAGCUUCUUCAUCAAGCUUAUAUAAGUAAGGAGGAUAUAAGAAAAGCAAUAAAAAGAACUUGAUGUGUCUCUUUACAUCAAAUCUAGAUUAUUUUAUUUUAUUUUCUGAAAUUCAUUGCUAUAGCUUGUAGAAUCUAUUUUAAAAUGUUAGUUUUAUCAUAUAUUCUUCAUUAAAUAUGAUUUUAUUAUUAAUCUUUUUUUAUAGGUGGAAUCGCUCUAAAUUAUUAUUAUUAUUAUUUUAUUUUUUUUAGAAAAAAAUAUCAACUGCAAUACCUCCUUAUUGUCUUUGAUUCUUAAGUAUAUUACUACAUCAUCUCUUAUCAACAUACGAAUAUAUCUUUAAAAAAAGAACUUAAAUAGUAAGAUGAAAGUGUGAAUACAAACAAACACUUAAUAGGACAUCAUAACAUCAUCAACAACAUUUCAUUAGAAGUUCUUGUCUUUUCUUCAAUCCAUUUUAUGUGUUACUUGUAACCGUAGUAGGCGUGAGAUCUCAUGUGGGUUGGAGAGGGGAACAAAACAUUCCUUAUAAGAGUAUAGAAAUCUCUUCUUAGCAAACACCUUAUAAAACUGUGAGGUUGAUGACGAUACGUAACGGACUAAAA